CCGGGUGGGUAAUACAUCGGAACGUGUCUUCUUGUGGGGGAGAACUGCCCGAAAGACGAGCUAAUACCGCAUGAGACCUGAGGGUGAAAGCGGGGGAGUCGCAAGACCUCGCGCUGGAAGAGCGGCCGAUGUCCGAUUAGCUAGUUGGUGAGGUAAAGGCUCACCAAGGCGACGAUCGGUAGCUGGUCUGAGAGGACGACCAGCCACACUGGGACUGAGACACGGCCCAG
RNAcentral lists this ribosomal RNA (230 nucleotides) under uncultured bacterium. RNAcentral describes it as "partial 16S ribosomal RNA". It matches the Rfam family "Bacterial small subunit ribosomal RNA", at positions 103 to 334 of the family's 1533-position model. The record is from RNAcentral.